AGUGGCGCACGGGUGAGUAACGCGUGGGUAAUCUACCUUCGAAUUGGGGAUAACGUUGCGAAAGCGACGCUAAUACCGAAUAAUAUCCAUUAGUCUUCGGGCUUUUGGAUCAAGGGUGGCCUCUACAUGUAAGCUACUGUUUGAAGAUGAGCCCGCGUACCAUUAGCUUGUUGGUGGGGUAACGGCCUACCAAGGCAACGAUGGUUAGCUGGUCUGAGAGGAUGAUCAGCCACACUGGAACUGACACACGGUCCAGACUCCUACGGGAGGCAGCAGUGAGGAAUUUUGCGCAAUGGGCGAAAGCCUGACGCAGCAACGCCGCGUGAGUGAUGAAGGCCUUCGGGUCGUAAAGCUCUGUCAAGUGGGAAGAACCUAUAUAAUGCCAACACCAUUAUAUACUGACGGUACCACUGAAGGGAGCACCGGCUAACUCCGUGCCAGCAGCCGCGAUAAUACGGGGGGUGCAAGCGUUAUUCGGAAUCAUUGGGCGUAAAGAGCACGUAGGCGGCCUGGUAAGUCAGAUGUGAAAGCCCGGGGCUUAACCCCGGAAGUGCAUUUGAUACUGUCAGGCUUGAGUAUGGGAGAGGGAAGUGGAAUUCCCGGUGUAGAGGUGAAAUUCGUAGAUAUCAGGAGGAACACCGGUGGCGAAGGCGACUUCCUGGACCAAUACUGACGCUGAGGUGCGAAGGCGUGGGUAGCAAACAGGAUUAGAUACCCUGGUAGUCCACGCAGUAAACGUUG
RNAcentral lists this ribosomal RNA (741 nucleotides) under uncultured delta proteobacterium. RNAcentral describes it as "bacterial SSU rRNA". It matches the Rfam family "Bacterial small subunit ribosomal RNA", at positions 94 to 811 of the family's 1533-position model. Lineage: Bacteria; Deltaproteobacteria. The record is from RNAcentral.